Hippocampus comes (tiger tail seahorse) is the source of this 1264-nucleotide long non-coding RNA. RefSeq lists it as uncharacterized. The transcript is spliced from 2 exons. Lineage: Eukaryota; Metazoa; Chordata; Actinopteri; Syngnathiformes; Syngnathidae. The record is from RefSeq and is a predicted model, not a curated record.
AAAGGCGCUCCUCGCAGUCGAGGAAUGUAGUGGGGCACUGGAUGUGUGCUUUUGCAGCAGAUGAAGGAAUCACACGUUUGUGUGUGUGUGUGUGUGUGUGUGUGUGUGUGUGUACUGUGUGACUGUGAGUGUUAGGUUUCAAGGGUGGCGCCACAUCCAUGCCUGUGUAGCUGUGCCAGCGUCAGGUCAGAGUAGUCAAUGGUGGCGGUAGUGGCGGUGGGGUGGGGGGGGGUGUUCCACAGAACCCCCUCUGACAAUCUUGUUCUCAGCCUUAUUUGCUUUCUUGUGGUUGGGCUGUGUCUGUUAGAUGUACAUGGGAGGGGGUGGCUUUUGUCUUUUUUUUUUUUUUUUCCCUUCGGACAUCUGUGUUUGGACAUGAUGUGUUUCCACACAAGGCCCCAAUUAGAAAGCACUUGCAGUAACAAAAGUCAUCAUCAUUUAGGGAGUUAUUGUUAUUACAUUUUUUGAACCAUUAUUUGGUUGAACGAAUAAUUAAUCAGUCAUCAGAUCUGAGUCACUUAUACGUUUUUUUUAAAGGGUUUUCUAAUUAUACAACUACAUUUGUCAGAAAGGGUUAUUUGGGGAAAAGAUUCUGAGCGAUGUCCCAAACAAAUUUCAGUCAUCUCUUUGCAACAGUGUCAUCCAUGUCUGGAGCAAGAAUAGGAAUGUGAACAUCUGCACAGCGACUGCCUAAUUUGUUUGGGGUACUGUCGGAUUUUUUCAAAUUAUGGGCCCGGGGUGUUUUGUCCUCAUCUGGGGUGUGAGGGGGGGGCGGCAGGAUAAAAGUGUGUGUGUUUUUGUUGAACUUGUUGCAACGGCCAUGUGCUGGUAGGGGGUGGAUUUAGCUGUGCUGUGCCUUUACUCAGCAAACACAGGAGCUGUCAAGACACGUUAGCCGCAGCUAGAGUUAUGGCACAGACUGGGCAGAGGUGAGCUGGGAUAGUGGGAAUGGAGUGAGCCAAAUUCUCUUUGAAUCUACGAGCCAUAUAAUGGGGGAGUGAAGAUGAUCCCGGGUGUAAAAUGGAGGCUAGAAAAUCCGAGAUUGUGGGGGAUGGAGUGAAAGGAAGGCCCUUUUAUUAUGAGCUUGGAUGAGCCUUUGUCAUAUGAUUCCCCUUGGCCUUUGUCGCAGGUGUUGCCAGCGUCUCUGCCAGCUGGCCAUGAUGAGCUGCAAGGGUGCGAAAUGGAGGCGGGGGGGGGGCUCAGGAGGUGUGGGGGACAUAUCGGAAGGGCCAUACUGUAGGCUGGUGGCUGGAAGGUUCCCAAA